Molecule: non-coding RNA, 895 nt
Organism: Chiloscyllium plagiosum (whitespotted bambooshark)
Lineage: Eukaryota; Metazoa; Chordata; Chondrichthyes; Orectolobiformes; Hemiscylliidae
Source: RefSeq, a predicted model, not a curated record
GUCAGAUGGCCUCCUCCUGAUCCUAGUUCUUAUGUUCUUAUGAUUGGGAUUGUUAUCAGUCCCUCUCUCCCACAAACCCAUUUCCAGGUUCCCAAAUAUUCUGCAGAAUUCAUUUUGCAUUUUCUCCGGUGGAAACAGACACACGUGUUCUCUGCCCCCACCAGUUACUUGUCGCUGAUGAUCAAUCCACCAGACUCACCCUCUGAGGGACUUUAAUUCCUCUCACGGAACAGAGAGCGGUUACUGGUUGGGCUUUAGACUGGAGAAAGUAAACAGGGAUAUUCCACAGCUGGCGAUAUAAGAGACAUUGUAUUUUAUCUCUUCCCUGUGUAAUAUAUUGCUGUAUAGUUACAGCAUUUGCAGGCGGCACAAACUUAGAAAUAUUGUGAACUGUGAGAGAAACAGCGAGAGACUUCAAGAGGAUAGCAGUCUGUGGUGGAGGCAAUAGAAACGUGGUGAUUGUAAGUGAAUGCAGAGAGGUGUGAAGUGAUACAAUUUGAUGGAAAGAUCCGGAGAGGCGAUAUGGAAUAAAAGGUACAAAAGAGGGUGUGGGGGCCCUGGGGAUGUAUGUGCAGAAUCUGUUGAUGGUGGCAGGACAGAUUGAGAGAGUGUCUACAAAGGUUUCCAGGAACCUGCGUUUAACAAAUAGAGAGAGGGGACAAAACAGGGAGGUGAUGAUGUAGCUUCAUAAAACACUGGCUCGACCACAACUCGAGUGUCAGUUCUGGAGCCCGCACUGUAGGGAGGUUGUGGAGGCUUCAGGAAGUGACAGAAAAGAUUGACAGGAAUGUUCCAGAGGUGACAGCCUUCAGUUCUGUCGAGAGAUUGGAGAAGCUGGGGUUGUUCUCCCGAGAGGGGAGACAGGAGACAGGAAAUUAGAUUGAGCUGUUCAACA